Non-coding RNA from Carica papaya (papaya), 3422 nucleotides. NCBI's taxonomy places the organism in Eukaryota, Viridiplantae, Streptophyta, Magnoliopsida, Brassicales, Caricaceae. The record is from RefSeq and is a predicted model, not a curated record.
UUUGUUUUUGUAAUGGAAAAAAAGGAAUCUUGAGCUUGAAUUGAGAGUGAAGAGCCGGGAUAUUGCAAGAAUCUGAUGAGGCAAUGUCCUAAAAUCUAAACAAAUCGAAUAGAAAAAUUCCGAAUAAAUCAUAUUCUGGAGCCGAGACGAGCUUAAGAAGAUCAGAGAUGCACUCACACACUUUCAUGGACAAGCAAAUCCCUGAGCUUUCAAAAUCUCAAACAGGCGAUUUCCAUGGCUUCACUCCCUCUCCAUACGAAGAUGAAUCUGAAGAUGAAGAUCGCUCCUUUCAUUUUCAUCCAGUUCAUCAUCGUUACUCUCGGGAGAGAAUUCCCGAUUCUAUCCACCUCGCAGGGUGGGGUUCCACGGAUCGCUGUGAUUCUUCCAAUGAGAAGGUCGAGACUCGCUACCAUGCUGGAUUGAUUUCCGCUAUCAAUUGGAAGAUAAAGGAACACGUUGACAAUGUCCUCCUUGCCGCGGAAGGCAUCAGUGCAAGACUAUUUUAGUUGGAGAGUAGAACAAAACGAACUGAUAAUUCUGUUGAUGACUUGAGGGACUCUAUUGAAUAUAAUAAUGGGAGAACAGAUGCAAAACUCAGGGAGAUUGAGAAUUUUCUGGCAGAGAUUCAUGAAAGCAAUAAAAGGAUAAGGUUAUAUGCAGGCACAGACGGAUUACACACUAUUCUUCAAGCACAAAGAGGGUAAAGUGCCUAUCUUAAUAGUUUGUAUUGAUGAUAUUAUUAUAAUAGGAGAUGAUAUUGAGGAAAUUCCUUAAGUCAAGAAAGAUCCUGCUUCAAAAUACGAAAUGAAAGAUUUGUGUAAAAUUUAAUACUUUCUUGGUAUGAAGAUAGUCGAAGCUGAGAGAAAAUUUCAGUGUCUCAAAAAAAGUAUGUCUUUGAUUUAUUAAAGGAUUGGUAUGUUGGGUUGCAAACUUGCGGACACUCCUAUAAAUUCCAAUGUGAAAUUCGGCGAUUUAAAAACAAGCAAAUCAGUCGAUAAAGGAAAGUUUCAAAGAUUAGUUAGCAAACUAAUUUACCUUUCACAUGCUAAACCUGAUAUUAGUUUUGUUGUAAGUUAUGUCAACCAAUUUAUACAUGUACCCACAGAGGAACACAUGACUGCAGAUACAUGAGUUUUAAAAUAUCUAAAACAAUCUCAAAGAAAAGGUUUAUUCUUCAAAGAAAAUCUCAAAUUGGAGUAUUGAAACAUUUACAGAUGCAUAUUGAUUAGGAUCGGUCACAAAUAAGAGAUCAACUUCAGGGUGUUGUUCGCUUGUUUGGGGAAACUUAGUCACUUGGAGAAGUAAAAAACAGACUGUGAUUACAAGAAGCAGUGCAGAAACUGAGUUGAGAUCCUUGACUCACAAUGUGUGUGAGAUAUGGCUGAGAAAUUUACUGGGAGAAUUAAAGCAACAAGGAAAUGAACUACUAGAGCUAUACUGUGAUAACAAAACUGCUAUCAGUAUCAUUCAUAACCCAGUUUAUCAUGAUAGAACUAAACACGUUGGAAUAAACUGUCAUUUCAUUAAAGAGAAGAUAGAAGAUGGGAUGGGGUCUAUGAUCUGUGUUCUAACUUUAAGUCAAAUAGUUGAUAUUUUCAUUAAAAGUUUCUAGAGACCUGAUUUUGAGAGAUUAGUUGACAAGCUUGAACUCCACAGCAUCUACAGCCAAGCUUGAGGGGGGGGGUGAAGGAAAGUCAAUUAAUUAUUUAUUCUAUAUUUAAGAUGAUUGACUAUAAUUUCAUACCUAAUUAUUUAUCUUACAUUUAAGAAGAUUGAUUGUAAUUUUAGGAUGUAGGAAUAUUCUGUAAUAUCUUGUAAAUUUUCUAUAUUUAAAAUGAUUAAAUUAGGAUGAUAGAAUCUCAUUAAUUAGGGCCUGUAUAUUUUUCUUACUCGGCUAUUUAAUGCCGUUGUACGUUAUUCUCUUUUCAAGUGUGAAGAUUAUUCAAAUCAGUACAAUGUAGAAAUAAUAUUUUUUUCCUGCUAGUCUCUUUUAAAUACCUUUCCAAAAACCAGUUUCAUAAAACUCCUGGUUGUUCUCCCAAACACCUCUUCUCUUCCACAAACUCCACCUCGCUUCCACCACCCUUUUCCACAGCCUGUCACCCUUAUGCAAAUAUCUCCACAGCCAUUUGCCAUGAAGGGCCCUAUUCACAUGCACAAGUGAUUUAAUUCCCAGCCCACCAUCUCUAAUUGGAUUUUUCACCUCCUUCCAAUUCACAAGGUGCAUUCUCCUUCUCUUCUCAUCGGCACCCAAAAGAAAUCUAUGCUGAAUUUUUUCUAGCUUUUUAGCAACAUGAACUGGAACCUUAAGGGCAGAGAAAUAGUAAAUAGCAACAUUAGAAAGAACACUCUUCAUCAAUGUAAGACGGCCACCCUUGGAGAAGAAAUUCCGCUUUCAUAUACAUAAUCUCUUCUAAAACAUUUCAACUACCGGAAACCAAAUGCUUUUCUCUUUGUAUUUCGCACCCAAUGGUAUGCCUAAAUACUUAAUAGGAAGAAUGGAAGAUUUACACCCCAGGACAUCAGCAAGAUCUCCCAAAUAAUAAUUUCAGAUUUAUUUAAAUUAAUAUUGAGAUGCGAGAUAGCCUGAAAACAUAAUAGAAUAGUACCAAGCUUCUGCACUAUUUUCUUCUUAGCUUGACAAAAGAUCAGAGUAACAUCUGCAAAAAAUAAGUUAAGGUGCCUUAACUUAGUUAUUUGGUAGAUUACUUGUUAUUAUUCAAAUAUUGAGAUAUUAUUUUGAUUAUUUAGAUUCAAGAUCUCCAAGUUUUGUUCUUAAUAAAAUUUCUCUAAGUUUUCUCUCCAAGUUCUCUUUAUAUUGAGAUAUUAUUUUGCUUAUCAAGAUCCAAGAUCUCCAAUUUUUGCUUGAAAUUUCUCUAGGUGUUUCUCUUCAACUUCUCUUUGUCCUACAUCAUGUAUGUUCAUAUAAAGUUUAAGAUAUCUUGGAGGGAAUAAAAUUAUGGAUGUAUUUUCAGUUAAGUUUAACACUUAACUUCCAUCUUAAGGAACCUAAAAUUUUGCGUUUCUUAACAAGAUAGGUUAUAAAGGAAGUUGCAGUGAAAUUCUGCAACUUUCUUAUCUGACUUUUCAGUAUCUAGGCCCAUAACCAUAUUCAUGACAAGUGAACUUACCAAAUUAUGUCAAUCUUUUCUCCACAUUUCUAAUUUUUAUUUUGAAGCAAUGAUCAGAAGACAUAUUAAUUAUUGAACUUGCUUGCCAUACUUGAAGGUUACCAUCCAUUAGGCUUGACUCUCUUGGAUGUCAUUGCAGAUCAUUUCUUAAUUUCUGACAAACAACCCAUCUGUGCAAAUUUGUUCUUAUACUAUGAGGUGGCUUGGUGGUUAUGGUGUGAACUUUUUGGUCCUUUUAGACGUGUGGGUGUUUGCGCUCCUAUUGUUGAGGGUUUCUUGUCCAUUCCAUCA